Molecule: ribosomal RNA, 599 nt
Filed under: Gloeostereum incarnatum
Lineage: Eukaryota; Fungi; Basidiomycota; Agaricomycetes; Agaricales; Cyphellaceae
Description: eukaryotic LSU rRNA
Rfam family: Eukaryotic large subunit ribosomal RNA
Source: RNAcentral
UAACAAGGAUUCCCCUAGUAACUGCGAGUGAAGCGGGAAGAGCUCAAAUUUAAAAUCUGGCAGUCUUCGAUUGUCCGAGUUGUAAUUUAGAGAAGUGUUAUCCGCGCUGGACCGUGUAUAAGUCUCCUGGAAGGGAGCAUCAUAGAGGGUGAGAAUCCCGUCUUUGACACGGACUACCAGGGCUUUGUGAUGCGCUCUCGAAGAGUCGAGUUGUUUGGGAAUGCAGCUCUAAAUGGGUGGUAAAUUCCAUCUAAAGCUAAAUAUUGGCGAGAGACCGAUAGCGAACAAGUACCGUGAGGGAAAGAUGAAAAGAACUUUGGAAAGAGAGUUAAACAGUACGUGAAAUUGCUGAAAGGGAAACGCUUGAAGUCAGUCGCGUUGGCUGGGGAUCAACCUUUCUUCUGAUUGGUGUACUUCCUAGUCGACGGGUCAACAUCAGUUUUGACCGUUGGAUAAAGGUUAGGGGAAUGUGGCAUCCUCGGAUGUGUUAUAGCCUCUGAUUGUAUACAAUGGUUGGGACUGAGGAACUCAGCACGCCGCAAGGCCGGGUUUUUAACCACGUACGUGCUUAGGAUGUUGGCAUAAUGGCUUUAAUCGAC